ACGGGUGAGUAACACGUGGGCAACCUGCCUCAUAGAGAGGAAUAGCCUUCCGAAAGGGAGAUUAAUACCUCAUAACAUUGCAGUUUCGCAUGAAACAGCAAUUAAAGGAGCAAUCCGCUAUGAGAUGGGCCCGCGGCGCAUUAGCUAGUUGGUGAGGUAACGGCUCACCAAGGCGACGAUGCGUAGCCGACCUGAGAGGGUGAUCGGCCACAUUGGGACUGAGACACGGCCCAGACUCCUACGGGAGGCAGCAGGUGGGGAAUAUUGCACAAGUACGGGGGAAACCCUGAUGCAAGCAACGCCGCGUGAGUGAUGGACGGCCGUUUCGGGUUAGUAAAGCUCUGUCUUCGAGGGACGAUAAUGACGGUACCUGAGGAGGAAGCCACGGCUAACUACGUGCCAGCCGCAGC
Molecule: ribosomal RNA, 410 nt
Filed under: uncultured bacterium
Lineage: Bacteria
Description: bacterial SSU rRNA
Rfam family: Bacterial small subunit ribosomal RNA
Source: RNAcentral